GACAGAGGGUGCAAACGUUGCUCGGAAUCACUGGGCGUAAAGGGCGUGUAGGCGGGACAGUAAGUCGGGCGUGAAAUCCCUGGGCUCAACCCAGGAACUGCACUCGAAACUACUAUUCUUGAGUGUCGGAGAGGAAAGCGGAAUUCCUGGUGUAGGGGUGAAAUUCGUAGAUAUCAGGAGGAACACCAGUGGCGAAGGCGGCUUUCUGGACGAUAACUGACGCUGAGACGCGAAAGCGUGGGGAGCAAACAGG
Molecule: ribosomal RNA, 253 nt
Filed under: uncultured bacterium
Lineage: Bacteria
Description: partial 16S ribosomal RNA
Rfam family: Bacterial small subunit ribosomal RNA
Source: RNAcentral